UGGAGGAGGGUAAAAAGGAAAGAGAAGCAUAUCCAUGGAUGGUUGAAAUGAACACCGUGUCCAAUAUUUUAGGAUUAUGUAAUAUCGAAAGGAAUUGUCUGUCAGGAGCCCACAUGCUAAUGCACGAAGAUCAAAACAAUCUUCAUCUGCAGCAUCUUUGAAACAGGAGAAUUACUUUGGAGUUUGUUAUUUCUCCAGGGUAGAGACAUAGACCUGCUCUAGGGAAGUAAUUGUAUCAUCAACCAAAUUCUAGGCGUAACUGAGAGAGGCUGAAAUAAAAUAGAAAACUCUUGCUGGGUCUGUCUCCACAGACUCCCGGGCGAGGCGUGAGAAUCAUGUCCUGAGUGGAAUGCCUGACAUGUGGCUCAGAGACCUGGCACUGAGUGUUCUCUGUCCUGACCAUCCACUGUACAUCUGUCUUUCUGGUAAACAGCUUCUAGGAGUUUCACUUCUGGGAACCCAUAGGGAGCGCCCUGAUUACAAGAAACACAACAAACACACUGAAGUGGACCUGAGAUGCCCAGUGGGAGCCUGUCCUCAUGCUGUGGCCCUUGUGCUGCAGAGGAGCAAAUGCUUUAGAGCAGCAAUGCUUUUGUGUUUCAUUAAAUAGCUAAAAACAAUGACUCUGAAGAAGUAAAGCUGAACUGAAAUUGAGCAGCAAGCUUUGCUCCUGGUCUAGGGUUAAAAUGAGUUCUCGGCCUUGGAGAGGCCUUCAGCUGGUACUGCUCUGGGUCAUAUCUGAGGCACCUGUGAGCAAGGACCACGUGUUCGCUGCAGACUCCAAAGUGCCAGGAAUGGCAUCCAGAGAAGCAGCUUUAGAAGGUGAUGAGUUUCAUUCAAAAUAUUUUCUGUUCUUAUUUUGAUCCCUUCCCCGCAGCCUCAGGAUGAAGGACUGAAGCCUCCAGGGCUGACAAGAUGGCAGGAGUUUCCGGUGGGGAAACAGGGACGACUCUAAAUUACUUGGCUGAGUCCCUUUGAAGGCUGCAGAUACCUCUACCCUUGAGGAGGCUUUUCCAUGGGGCUUGGGGAAAAGGGUAGCUUUUUAAUUUAGGAGAGUAGAAUAAGGAGAGAAGGAAGAAGGCACUCAUUGUCUGCUACCAUGUCCCUUUCCUUUCUGUGUGAUGACACUCAAUUAGUAAGCAGGUAACAAACAAAAGGAAAAAUAGGACUUCACCCCUCCUCAAAAACACCCCAGCAGGAGCCAAUCCCUUUUACUGAAUACCCUGGCUAUGGUAUUAUAGUUAACUGUAAAAUACAAGAAGCUACGUUCUUAUGAUGAUGGGUUUUCCCAUCACCUGAAAAAUCAUGUACUGAGAGCGCCUCAGUGUACUAACCAGGGUAAAAUCACCUUCUGAGUUUAGAUCUGCAUCAGCAUCUCCCACAAGACUAGCAGCUCAGGUUACACCUUGUAUGAAGAAAAUAAAGAGUUAAAACAUAAGUAUAAAUUAAUAGCCACAAAAGGGAAAGGAUGGUGUGUGUGUGUGUGUGUGUGUGUGUGUGUGUGUAUGGGGGAGCUAUUAAAACAUUUUUGUGUGAAGCACAAUCUUAGGAGGACCCCCAGAGGACUUGCAAACACUCAGUAGGAUCAAAUCAGAUGAGUCUAUAGACAUUGUUAUUUGUCAGAUUAAAUCACACUAAAUUCAAGAAAUGUAGAUGAUAUGAUGAUUAAAAUAUUGCCCCCAGCUUCCCUCACAUCCACUACAAAUGCUUCUGCAUGUGCCACUUUUUCAGAUUUUGUUGUUAACUGUUAAAGAGUUUUGGGUGCUCAGCCUUUUUUCUGCUACAAUGAUAAUAAGAGUUUUCUCUCCAGGAGUUCUGGGCAAAAUUAAUGAAAAUUUUUAUGGCCCAGGAAGAGAGAAAAACAAACAUCCAAGCAAGGAUCUGGGGUGCAGAGCAGAGGAUUAGGAGAGUGAGCAAAAUAACCGAUUUGUGAAUAAGAGCCACUCAUAUGCAAGAAGACCAAAGUUGUUAAUGAUCUUGUUACUGCUGACUUCUAAGGGCUUCACCACAACAGAUCAGCAGCCCCAGGAAAGCCAGGGAGAGCAGAGGGUCUGAAGUGAACUUGUUACCCGGUGUCCCUGCUGGGCAAAUAAGUCCCCCAGUAAGUGAAUUCUCCACAUAACUGAAAGCUAUCCUGUAACUGGUAAAGCUUUUCUUUUACUAUGUUUGUGAAUUGUCUAUCAAAUGAUUUUCCUGUCAUCUUCAACAGAAAUGACACACACACACACACACAUCACAUACUUAAGAAAGUAAACUUUCAAUAUGAUCAUAGUAAGAUUCUGCAGAUAAGAAAACCAAGAACCAGCAAGACCAGGGAUGCAUUGCCAAACACAGUUGGUUGCAGCUCUGGGGCUACUGAGGGGUACAGAGAACAGUUUUGAGCUUCCAUUUACGUGCCUUGGAGUUGUUCUUUUUCUGAUUCCCUCCUUGUCGGGCAGACAAAGGCAGACACUUAAACUCAUGCUUUUAACUUCAGAAAAAUUCUUCCCUCCCCCUCUCUCCCUUUGUAAAAUAAAAUGCAAACCAA
Non-coding RNA from Ictidomys tridecemlineatus (thirteen-lined ground squirrel), 2527 nucleotides. The record is from RefSeq and is a predicted model, not a curated record. Lineage: Eukaryota; Metazoa; Chordata; Mammalia; Rodentia; Sciuridae.